Molecule: long non-coding RNA, 2132 nt
Filed under: Pectinophora gossypiella (pink bollworm)
Lineage: Eukaryota; Metazoa; Arthropoda; Insecta; Lepidoptera; Gelechiidae
Description: uncharacterized LOC126373033
Source: RNAcentral
UUAUAUAAUACUUAUACCUUAAAUAUGUAUUAUGUAAGUAUCAGAAAGCAGUGCUGCCUCGAUUUGGAGUCUCUUUUACAAAAUGCUAGAGUAAUUUAGGCACGAGUACUACAGAUAAAUUUAAUUGAGGGAAAACUGGAUCGGCCUACAGCGAAUCUACUCACAAUAAAAUAACUAUGACGGUACACUAAGCUAUAGACCAUUAACAUACGGGACCCUAACCGCUAUAUACCAAGAAACAUAUGCAUAUCACACGCAUACACAACUCCAUUAAAAUAUCGUUAACCGAAGAUCUUGAAGGCUGCCGAUACACGCUACACGUUAUGUCAUCCAAAAGUUACGUGUAAUCAUUACAAUCAAAUGAAUUCCACAUCUUAGAGCCCAAGGUUAGGAACAGAAAUACAUAAUAAUAUGACCAUCAUCAAUAGCUCAUGGACAAAUGACGCUGCUGUUGUACUAUCGCUACAAAAUAAUUAUGUUAUCCAGCCGUUUUGGAUACAGCGACUGCUUCAACUCCGACGUUCAUGUGCUCGCAUGUGUAUAUAUGUUUAUAUAGCCAAUCUUAUGGGAAAAGAUCCUCGCAUAUAGCGGGCAUGUGAACACACGAUUUAAAAUAUAUAAUUGAUCACUGCAGGUGGUCGAGCUUUCAAUUCAAAUCUACGAUAUCGUCUACUCUAGUUUCCAACUAGUCAAAUCAGUUACUUUUUACUAAACAUCAAAACACGAAAUUACAAUGGAAUUUGUAUGAAAAAGCACACUGUGACGUCAUAGAAAAAUGUCAUAAAAUAUCAAGACUUAUUAUUACGUUUUUCUAGAUAAAAAUUCAUAAAAAAUUCGUGAUUAUUGAAUCAAGUAGUUUCUAAAAUUUGUGCCCGGUUAACGGCAAUGGGCUCGCCCCCAUGGGACUUAAACAGAAGUGGGUGUAUAUACUAUACACCUCUGCCUACUCCUUUGAGGAUACAGGCGUGAUGCUAUGCCGCAAGCACAAGAUCACGCCUAUUUCCCGUCGGGGUAGGUAGAAUCCCACUUACUACCACGGAAUUCCACUUACUACGAUCCUAACACACCACUUUCGCUUCUUCAACUCUCAUCAAAGACUUCAUGCAUGCUGUUUGUUGUUUGUUUUUGUUCCCUCAUUCAGCGCUUAUCGCUAUCGACCCACUAGGGUCGAUUAAUUCUUUCAAAUAUUUUUCCUCUCAAACGACGCCCUGAGCCGAGAGUCGCGACCAACUGGGCACCCUCAGGCCUGUUGUCUUAAACGUUGUGCCGGGUGAGAGCCUUCAGCGUUCUCCAUUUGUCCGGCCAAGUAAUUAAUGCCAUCUGUGGCAAAUCUACAAGUCACGUCAAAAAAAAAAUGUUUUUUUUUUAUUGUGUUCAUGUUUGAUGUGUUUUUGUUGUUUUUAUUUAUUUAUUUUUUUAGGGAAAUUUACAGCAAAAUUACACAAAAUAUACACAACUCUAAGAAGCUACAUGCCAACAAAAAAUUUCCACAUAUAUGAGUGUAAACAGUUAACUACAUACUAAAAAACGUAAACCGUUUUUAACGGGACAAGUCCGAUAACAGCAGCAUUAAUAAAUAAUAGAAGAAACGAAAUAAUAAACGUCAGCCUUAGCAGCGUAGAGCAUUUUGGAUAGUUGAGGAAUCGAACCCGGGACCUCCGGAUCGUGAGCCCCGCAGUGAGAGUCAAGCGUUCUUCCAACUGUGCUACUACGGCUUUUGGAGGUGAUUCAGACCAACAUUCUAACAUUUAAUUGUAACUUGUCAGGUGUUCAACAUGUCUACGGCCACGACCAUUAAUAUGUAUACACUUUGGUACCAUAUCUCAUUAACUUUUUUGGCAAAUUGAACUGUAAGUCUCACUAAAUGUCAAAUAUGUUAGUGCGACAGAGUCCUAAAGUUGGUACAUUAUAUUGCUUAUGACUGUACACUCAACUUGUGACGUCACAGUUAUAAAUCAUGUGAACAUCUCGGUGUUAUGUGGGCUAAGCAUAGUAAAAACUUGCGGUUGUGCCCUGAAUAACUAUUACUACAGCUUUCAUUUCGUUUUUUGCAGUAUGAUGUAAAAGGUCUUGGAAAUGUAAGUAAGUAUAUUAUGUUGCGAAAAUAAAUCAUGAGAUGAUGCUACUGCUUU